Cinara cedri is the source of this 229-nucleotide non-coding RNA. Lineage: Eukaryota; Metazoa; Arthropoda; Insecta; Hemiptera; Aphididae. The record is from the annotation of a GenBank genome assembly.
UUUUUUUUUUUUAUCAGCAACAAUAUUUGAUCAUCAGGACCGAAACUAUUUACCGGUGCAUUAAAAACACACACGUUUUUACCGCUCAUAUUAUAACAAAAUACGAGUAUUGAAUAAUUACCAACUAAUAUAUAAUUAAUUAUUAAAUAACAGUUACUCGAAUGAAGUUGUUAGCAAUAUAAUUAUUAUCUAAGGAUGCACAGUAUAGGGGCUGUGUUAAAGUUACUCU